ACGAGUACUUACACGGAUAGGACG
This 24-nucleotide non-coding RNA is filed under the name Arabidopsis thaliana (thale cress). The record is from RNAcentral. Lineage: Eukaryota; Viridiplantae; Streptophyta; Magnoliopsida; Brassicales; Brassicaceae.